This 497-nucleotide ribosomal RNA is filed under the name uncultured bacterium. RNAcentral's name for it is "partial 16S ribosomal RNA". It matches the Rfam family "Bacterial small subunit ribosomal RNA", at positions 28 to 507 of the family's 1533-position model. The record is from RNAcentral.
GACGAACGCUGGCGGCGUGCCUAAUACAUGCAAGUUGAGCGCUGAAGGUUGGUACUUGUACCAACUGGAUGAGCAGCGAACGGGUGAGUAACGCGUGGGGAAUCUGCCUUUGAGCGGGGGACAACAUUUGGAAACGAAUGCUAAUACCGCAUAAAAACUUUAAACACAAGUUUUAAGUUUGAAAGAUGCAAUUGCAUCACUCAAAGAUGAUCCCGCGUUGUAUUAGCUAGUUGGUGAGGUAAAGGCUCACCAAGGCGAUGAUACAUAGCCGACCUGAGAGGGUGGUCGGCCACAUUGGGACUGAGACACGGCCCAAACUCCUACGGGAGGCAGCAGUAGGGAAUCUUCGGCAAUGGACGAAAGUCUGACCGAGCAACGCCGCGUGAGUGAAGAAGGGUUUCGGAUCGUAAAACUCUGUUGGUAGAGAAGAACGUUGGUGGGAGUGGAAAGCUCAUCAAGUGACGGUAACUACCCAGAAAGGGACGGCUAACUACGUG